AUGGAGCUGAAGCCCGGCAUGUCGGCCCUCGUCACCGGCGGCGCCUCCGGCAUCGGGAAAGCGCUCUGCAUCGCUUUUGCACAAAAGGGUCUAUUUGUGACCGUGGUCGACUUCUCUGAACAAAAUGGAAGAGAAGUCACUUCGCUAGUUCAAAAGGAGAACAGAAAGUUUCAUGGAGAUCUUGGAGUACCGUCUGCCAUAUUCGUCAAGUGUGAUGUUUCUAUUGAAGGUGAUCUAGCUGCUGCUUUUGCGAAACAUGUAGACACAUAUGGUGGACUAGAUAUCUGCAUCAAUUGUGCUGGAAUUGCCAACAAAACAUUAGUUUAUUAUGAUACAUCUGACGGAACUAGGACAUGGAGGCAUGCCAUAAAUGUGAACUUUGUCGCUGUUAUUGAUGGUACUCGCAUUGCAAGUCAAAUAAUGCGAUCCCGGAAGAAGCCUGGUGUCAUAAUCAAUAUUGGUUCAGCUGCGGGCCUUUAUCCCAUGUUCGCCGAUCCCAUAUAUACUGGGACAAAAGGUGGUGUUGUUAUGUUUACUCGAUCACUUGCUCCAUUGAAACGCCAUGGUGUUCGUGUCAACGUGCUCUGCCCUGAGUUUGUUCAAACUAAUAUGGCUGAGCAAAUAAAUCAAAAAAUAGUACAUGCAACUGGUGGAUUUUUGAAGAUGGAGGAAGUUGUUAAUGGCGCAUUUGAACUUAUAAAAGAUGAGAGCAAAGCUGGUGCUUGCCUUUGGAUAACUAAGCGGAGAGGGAUGGAAUAUUGGCCAUCAGCAGAGGAACAAAGAAAAUAUCUGUUGAAUUAUACCAAGUCAAAAAGAACAGUAACAAAGAAUGUAUUUCCUAGCAUCCAAACACCUGAGUUUUAUGAGAAGAUAGUUGUUCACACACUCAGCCAUAAUUUCCGCAAUGCUACAAGACUUGAUCGUGUGCGAUUGAGAUUGCCCAUUGAACCACAAAGUGCGCUAGUUAAAAUAAUAUACGCUGGUGUAAAUGCUAGUGAUGUAAACUUCAGCUCCGGACGAUAUUUCAGUGGUAGUGCUAAAGAAACUGCUGCACGCCUUCCGUUCGAUGCUGGUUUUGAGGCUGUGGGAAUUGUUGCUUCUGUUGGAGAUGCAGUGAGCCAUGUCAAAGUUGGCAGUCCUGUGGCCCUUAUGACUUUUGGAAGCUAUGCUGAAUUUACGAUGGUUCCAGCCAAACAUCUUCUUCCGGUGCCAAGACCAGACCCGGAGGUCGUUGCUAUGCUAACAUCAGGAUUGACCGCUUCAAUUUCUCUUGAAAAGGCAGGUCAAAUGACAUCUGGGCAAGUUGUUUUAGUUACAGCAGCUGCUGGUGGAACAGGACAGUUCGCGGUUCAGCUUGCAAAACUAGCGGGCAACAAGGUUGUUGCCACAUGUGGUGGCGAAAGUAAGGCUGCAUUUCUAGCUUCCUUAGGUGUUGAUCGAGUUAUCAACUACCAGCAUGAGAAGAUCAAAGAUGUUCUGAAAAAGGAGUUUCCAAAAGGUGUAGAUAUUAUAUAUGAAUCUGUAGGUGGGGACAUGUUUGAUUUGUGCUUGAAUGCGCUCGCAGUCCAUGGACGCCUCAUUGUAAUUGGUAUGAUCUCUCAGUAUCAAGGAGAGGAGGGAUGGAAGCCGAAGAACUACACUGGACUAUGUGAGAAGAUUCUUGCUAAAAGUCAAACUGUGGCUGGAUUUUUCCUGGUUCAACAUGCUCACAUGUGGCAAGAUCAUCUUGACAAACUAUUUGAGUUGUAUGCCUCUGGAAAGCUAAAGGUCUCACUCGACCCUAAGAAAUUCCUGGGCGUUGCUUCCGCGGUGGAUGCGGUAGAGUAUCUUCAUUCUGGCAAGAGCGUCGGCAAGGUCGUCGUCUGCAUCGAUCCAGCUUACAGCCAGACCCUCGCUAAGCUGUAG
Molecule: ribosomal RNA, 1905 nt
Filed under: Triticum aestivum (bread wheat)
Lineage: Eukaryota; Viridiplantae; Streptophyta; Magnoliopsida; Poales; Poaceae
Description: partial small subunit ribosomal RNA
Source: RNAcentral